GGAUAGCGUUUGGAUACGAACGGUAAUACCGCAUAAUGUAUUUUGACCGCAUGAUCGAAAUACCAAAGAUUUAUCGCUGAAGGAUGGACUCGCGUCUGAUUAGGUAGUUGGUGGGGUAACGGCCUACCAAGCCGACGAUCAGUAGCCGGACUGAGAGGUUGAUCGGCCACAUUGGGACUGAGACACGGCCCAGACUCCUACGGGAGGCAGCAGUGGGGAAUAUUGCACAAUGGGCGCAAGCCUGAUGCAGCAACGCCGCGUGAAGGAAGACGGUUUUCGGAUUGUAAACUUCUGUUCUUAGUGAAGAAUAAUGACGGUAGCUAAGGAGCAAGCCACGGCUAACUACGUGCCAGCAGCCGCGGUAAUACGUAGGUGGCAAGCGUUGUCCGGAAUUACUGGGUGUAAAGGGAGCGCAGGCGGGUGAUCAAGUCAGCUGUGAAAACUACGGGCUUAACCCGUAGACUGCAGUUGAAACUGUUCAUCUUGAGUGAAGUAGAGGUUGGCGGAAUUCCGAGUGUAGCGGUGAAAUGCGUAGAUAUUCGGAGGAACACC
This 552-nucleotide ribosomal RNA is filed under the name uncultured Lachnospiraceae bacterium. Its description in RNAcentral is "bacterial SSU rRNA". It matches the Rfam family "Bacterial small subunit ribosomal RNA", at positions 141 to 710 of the family's 1533-position model. The record is from RNAcentral. Lineage: Bacteria; Bacillati; Bacillota; Clostridia; Lachnospirales; Lachnospiraceae.